Molecule: long non-coding RNA, 3519 nt
Filed under: Canis lupus familiaris (dog)
Lineage: Eukaryota; Metazoa; Chordata; Mammalia; Carnivora; Canidae
Description: lncRNA (ENSCAFG00845024264.1)
Source: RNAcentral
UUUUUUUUUUUUUUUUUUUUUUUUUUUAAGAAGAAAACCACACUGGAGACCCUCAGAUGUUUCUCCUAAAAGUGCUUCUACUCAUGAGGUUCAAGUGUUCUGAAUGGCUUUGCAGGGUCGCGCUGUGUAUGUUACUCGGCAGACACAUCACAUCUUCGUAGAGGCGGAUUGCACAAGGCCUAGAUAUGCUUUACCCAAUAAGCAAACUGUCGCUGUCGUAUUAAAUUCUAGGACAUAAAAAUUGGCCUCACUGGGGCACCCGGGUAGCUUAGCGGUUGAGCAUCCACUUUUGGCUCAGGACGUGAUCCUGGGGUCCCAGAAUCGAGUCCCACAUCGGGCUCCCUGCAGGGAGCCUGCUUCUCCCUCUGCCUGUGUCUCUGCCUCUCUCUCUCUGUGUGUGUGUGUGUCUCUCAUGAAUAAAUAAGUAAAAUCUUUUAAAAUAAAAUUAAAUAAAUAAAUGAAUGAAUAAAUAAAUAAUAAAAUCUUCCAAAAAUAAAAAUUGGCUUCAUCGAUCACGUGAGAGUCUCGGGUUACAAACUAUAUUGUCUACGGUGGUGUUUUUCUGAAGGCAAAAAUGUCCAGUGAAUGUAUUUUUAUGACUAUACACUUUGAGUUGACUAUCAAACCGGAUUUGAUAGUCUGGAUUUACUGUCUGGAUUUAAUUACGGGGUCAACAUUGACGUAAAGUGGCGUAUUUACAAAGGUAUGGCGUGCUUCCUCGUGGGCAGGGUCUCUUUGGGGCCCAAACUUUCUCCUGGAGCAAAUGGAGGGUUUUUCAUGAAUGCGUACCAGGCAGGGAGGCAUUUCCCACUGCUCUCAUUGUCAUGUUGGGACUAUGAGAUGCUCAGGGCUGCUCACAAAGGUCCCUGCAUGUCACCUCUUCUUGUGGCCGCCGAAUGCAGAACAUGCAGGUAAGGAGGACUCGCAGAAGACCCUGAGGAAUGAGAAUGGGGUUGGUUACAAGAGCCUGGACCCCUGAGCCAUGCACAUCACCACCUGGGAGCAGCCACGGAGGGCUGGCUGUGUGGCCGCCCGGUGAUCGCCACCUGACCAAGAUCCAAACUUUGCUCUUCUGAGCCACUGAGAUUCAGAGCUUGUUCAUCUCGUAGCAGCUGGACCGACGACCUUGACUGAUCCAGUAGGUUGGCCCCUCUGUAUAAGCGUGACAUGUCGUGAUAGCUCUUUGGAUUGCAAACGAUUUGUUCUGAUUGGUGCUGCUUUAAAAGGAAGCUGCAUGCGUUAAUUCUUGUGUGUCUGUGUUGUUCUUUUAUAUUUUCAUUUUCAUGUUUUUGUUGUUGCGACACUUAACCUGAGAGCUAGAUUUUUAAGUGUGCGAUGCACACUGGUAACCGCAGACACCACACUACACAGCAUACCUGCAAGAUUCACGUGACGUAACUGGCAAUAUAAACCCGUUGGUUUGCAACCCCCUCUCUUUCUUUUCCCCCAGACCCUAGCCACCAGCAUUCCGCUGUUUGCUUCUGUAAGGUAGACUAUUUUAGAUGCCUCCUGUGGAUGGAAUUUUGCAGUAUUUGUCCUCUUGUGAUGGACGUCAUUCACGUAACAUAGCAUCCCUAAGGUUCAACGUGUUGUUGAACGUUGCGGGAUUCUGUCCCUUUUUAAGAUUGAAGGAUGGUGGCUGCUAUCUGGAAAAACAAAAACAACGCAGGCGUUGACAAGGACGUAGGGAAAAGGGAACCCUCAUGCACUGGGGAAGUGCAAAAUGGUGCAGCCACUGGGGAAAACAUUAUGCAGGGUCCUCAACAAAUUAAAACCAGAAUUACCAUGCAACCCAGCAAUCCCACUUCUAGAUGUUCAUCCAGAAGAACUGCAGUCAGGAUCUUGAAGACAUCUGUGCUCUCCUGUGUUCGUCGCAGCACUGGUCACAAUGGCCAAGAUGUGGAAACGACAUAAGUGGGUGGAUGGUGGACAAAGGAAAUGUGGUCCGUGCAUUAAUUCCUUGAAUUUUUCCUACGAUGCGAAGAUGCCGAUCAGGUAAACCUCAGCACUGACGUUGGCCAGCAAUUGGCGGGGGCCCAGAAUUGAGGAUAAAUGAUCCCACUGUAGAGGGAGCGAGUGAGUGGGCAACGUCAACUACGUUGCUCAAGCAACACAUCGAUGAUGCCUUCCACGCCGACCUCCUUCCUCCAAGUGGAAUCGUAAAUUGUGCUUCGUUGGCUGGAUGAGGAUGGCAGAUUUCAAAGUAUGUUGCACAUAUUGAGGGCUGAUGGUCUGUAUAAAAGCACAUUUUUCCAAAGAACAUAUUUUUAUAAAAUAUUCUUUGAAAUCCCUAUAAAUUCUGUAACCUUCGAAAUCCUUAAAAAUGCAUUUCCUGGGCAUACGUAAAUGCGCUCUUGGUGACUGGGGUGCGUUAGUUUUGUUGAUCAGAUUGUAGUCUUAGAGAUCAAAAGACAACGUAAUGCCUUAAAGCCAACUUCUUUCAGCACGCUUUGAAAUAACACCGCAUAACUCCUGUUUAAUAUUUACAAUUAAUUCAUAGGAUUCAUGCUUUUUGUGCUUUUCUUUAAAAGGCAGGGUGGAACACGUUCUGUUACUGGCAAGCCGCAGGACGCUCUACAGCAAGAUCUGAAAGUUGCCUCUCAGGUUGAAGGCAACAUGCGACGGGGUUGGGAGAAGUCAGCGUUUCAGAUAAUUCAAGAAAGGACACGUGUGGCGUUGUGUCAGACAAGGGAGAUGCACGAGGUGUGGAACCGCUGGGCGAGAGGGGGAUCGGGCAGGCCAUCUGUUGGAGCUUAUAUCAGGGAGAUCUGGCCCCAGCCAUCCUAUCUGCAGCGGAGAUAAAGCUAGUUUCUACAGCACAUUGCACUGCCCUGCAAAUGAGGCAGGAACUGGUCCCAGGAGCCGCCCCGUUGGGAGAGGCUGGAAUAUGGGGUAGUUUUCAGUUAGGCUCCUUCGUCCCCAGCUUGAUUGCAAGUACUUCUAUGCAUUCAUCUACUUAAUCCUCACUACACACCAGUUGGAUUGAUGUUAUGAUAGUCCUGUUGCAGAUGGAGAAACAGGUACAGGAAACAGGUUGCUUUAGUCUUAGAUUUAUGUAGUGAUCUCUUGGUUUAAAAAAACUAAAAAAAAAAAAAAAAAAAAAAGGAUUUUUAAGUAAAAAAAAUCUGAAAAAAUAAUUUAGAAAAAUAAGUUAAAUGGGGCACUUGGCUGGCUCAGACUGUAGAGCACAUGAUUCUCUUUUUUCCCUUUUUUAAAAUUUAUUUUUAUUUUAUUUUCCUUUUUUUAAAUUUAAAUUCAGUUUUGCCGAACACACAACUCGUGACCUCAGGGUUAUAUAUCUGAGCUCCAUGUUGGGUGUACAGAUUACUUAAAAUCCUUAAUCUUCUUUUUAAAGUAGGUUCCAAGGCAUCCCCGGUGGCUCAGCAGUUUAGCACCACACCUGGGUGUGAUCCUGGAGAUCCGGGGAUCAAGUCCCGCAUAGGGCUCCCUGCUUGGAGCCUGCUUCUCCCUCUGCCUGUGUCUCUGACUCUCUCUCUCUCUGUGUCUCUUAUGAAUGAA